This 556-nucleotide ribosomal RNA is filed under the name uncultured bacterium. RNAcentral's name for it is "partial 16S ribosomal RNA". It matches the Rfam family "Bacterial small subunit ribosomal RNA", at positions 355 to 932 of the family's 1533-position model. The record is from RNAcentral.
UGGGGAACAUUGGACAAUGGGCGCAAGCCUGAUCCAGCCAUGCCGCGUGAGUGAUGAAGGCCUUAGGGUUGUAAAGCUCUUUCGCCGACGAAGAUAAUGACGGUAGUCGGAGAAGAAGCCCCGGCUAACUUCGUGCCAGCAGCCGCGGUAAUACGAAGGGGGCUAGCGUUGUUCGGAAUCACUGGGCGUAAAGCGCACGUAGGCGGAUUGUUAAGUCAGGGGUGAAAGCCUGGAGCUCAACUCCAGAACUGCCCUUGAUACUGGCAAUCUCGAGUCCGGAAGAGGUAAGUGGAACUGCGAGUGUAGAGGUGAAAUUCGUAGAUAUUCGCAAGAACACCAGUGGCGAAGGCGGCUUACUGGUCCGGUACUGACGCUGAGGUGCGAAAAGCGUGGGGAGCAAAACAGGAUUAGAUACCCUGGUAGUCCACGCCGUAAACGAUGGAGGCUAGCCGUUGGCGAGCAUGCUCGUCAGUGGCGCAGCUAACGCAUUAAGCCUCCCGCCUGGGGAGUACGGUCGCAAGAUUAAAACUCAAAUGAAUUGACGGGGUCAUAGCUG